UUCAAUUUCGUUGUCCUCCCCCAAAAAUUCCAUUCUUGAAUCCUCAGCUCUUUCUUCCCAGCACAUUGGCACUUCUUCAGUCCCCGAUCCCGUAUGCAAUCGCACACUUGAUCACUCGGCUUCCAAAAACCCUUUCACAAAUCCAAUCGCACUGUCCCACUUGCUGUCAAAUUCCUCAAACACUACGAUGGCGCCUCCUCCUGGACCCUAUUCCGGCACCAGCACCCUCGCUUUAGUAAAUUACAUAUCUCUUCGACGUUUUUUUCCCCAGUAGUAUACGUACAAAGAUAUGCUAAAUUGUAAUGUAUUUCUACGGAUGUCAGGUGGUUCGAGUGUCCGCUUUUUCAUUAGGGCUUAUCUACGGAAACAUGAAACUCAAGAUUAUUAGGGUACUGUAAUUUUAAAUUUUCUGACUGAUCCUUUCGAUUUUAUUUUAUUUUUUAAUUUUUGGUUGCAUUAAAUAGAAAGAAAGAAAUAAGUUUGUGUUGAGCUAUAUUUUGUUCUUAAUUGAUUGGUGGUAUUUCAGUAAUUUUGUUCCACUUUAAGUUUCUUAGGUUAAUUGAUUUUGGGGGUUUAUCUAAGUGGGAAAUGUUGGUUAUAUGUAGAUCAGGUAAUUCAAGCUGAAUUAUUCUGUUUUAAGAUUGGGAUUAUGUUUGCUGUGUUUUUGUUCUGUUUUGUUUGGAUGAAACAAGAUUAAAAGAGCAACGUUGGGAGCUUCAAAGUUGAGAUUUGGGGGAUGGACAAAUUGAAGACAGAAAAUGGAACCAAAGGAUGGCCCUUAGCGUAGGCUGGUGAAAUUGGACUAUGUUACGAUUUUUCUUGGAAUCCAUUAUAAUGAAGGCUAACCAAAUACGUAUUUAGAAUUGCGGGAAAAAGAACAUUUCCAUUUAAUUAUUCGAGGAAGAUCAUUUCAGACUAAUCCCAGAACUUAGAUGGGUAUGCUGUGUUAGGGCCAGAAUAAUGUCUUUGUAAUGCUUGAAGAUCACAGUGCUUUCUGGUCACUGUUUAAUUUUCUCAUUGCAAUUGCAAAUUAUAUUCAGUACUAAAGAGAAUGGUCUCCCUUGUUUUUUGUUGUAAGACCACUUUUUUCCUUGGUCAUGCAUGAUAUUAGCUAAUUAGAAGAUAGACAAACUUUAUGUGCUUGAUUGCCUUAGUUGAUAAUCUUGACUCAGUAAGAAUCUUGGUGCUUCUAUAUGCUAGCAUUUGUCGUACGGUGUUGGUUAACUUUUUGUUUUUUCAAAUUGGUCUAACUGAGAAGUGGUUAUCUUUAUGGGACACGAACUUUGCAACGGAAGACAAUUAUUUUGAAGAUUAUCACAAAUAAUACAAAAAUCUUGCGUCAGUCCAUUCCUAUGGGUUUGGUACACUUAAAAAACUUGCAACAAGAAUUUAGACACACACGUGCUGUCAUAAUCUUCUUCAAAGUAGCAGAGUAUUAACAUCCACCUUUGCCCAACACAAGAAGAAACUAAACCUGUUUCACAAUAAACUUGGAGUAGAUUACAUGAAUGGUCCGUUCCAUUGCAUUUAUCCACAUCUGAACAUGGCUAGUGUUUUUGUUUUUUCUUUUCUUGAGCAUUUCUUGACAAGCUUGGAAAUCUGAAGUCAUGAUUUUAUAUACUUUCCUGGUCAAAGGUUGUUUAUAGACAUUCGUAUAUCAAUAUGUUGUAGCUGGUCAAAUGCUGAUAUCUUGGGCUGUCUAAUUUCACCAGGCGAAGUCCAAGUCUCAUAAGAAAGCUGAAGCGAAAGGUAACCACUGAAGGAGGGCAAUGUUGUGUUUUGGCUAUCUGAUAGAAAUAUUGAGUGAAAAAAUGUAGGGGUUCUAUUCUGUCCUGUUGGGUAGAACCUUCAUCUACUUGUGAAUGUUGCAUUUUCUUGAGAAUUCUUACAUGUUUCACGCUUUGAUGACUCAGUAUUGGUUCAGUUAGUUUCCAUACUCUACUGAUGAUCGCAGAAGUCAGAUAAAUAUAGUUUCUUCAAGUAAAAUAACUAUUUAUAAUCAGGUCUUUGAGAUAGAGGCGAGUUGCUAGCACUUCAUUGGACAUUUCUAUGGCUUCCAUUAUGAAAUGUAUUUUAUUGUUUUGGCUAUGUUUACAUAUAUAGGGAUCGACACGACAGAAAUGUGUUGAAUCUUGGAGGAAGAUCUGAAGGAAAUGAAGGAGAGUACUAUGGAGAGAGGAUUUGAGAAACAAAAUAUAAUAUUACAAUUGAAAUAUUUUCGAUGUAAACUGUUUUUUAAGCAUCAAGGCUUGACCCAUCAAUCUUUAACCUGAGCAAGACAAGCUUGUAUUGUGUAUUUGGGCUGACCAAAAUUAUAUGGUCACGUUUCAGUUGUGAAAAAAUGACUCAGGUUCCAAGAAUAGUUGUAAUUGGAGUCUAAUUUUAAAGGCUAUCUGACCCAGAUACCUACAUGUGCCAAUUCAGUAGUAAUGGAG
Molecule: long non-coding RNA, 2435 nt
Filed under: Olea europaea subsp. europaea
Lineage: Eukaryota; Viridiplantae; Streptophyta; Magnoliopsida; Lamiales; Oleaceae
Source: RNAcentral